This 253-nucleotide ribosomal RNA is filed under the name uncultured bacterium. Its description in RNAcentral is "partial 16S ribosomal RNA". It matches the Rfam family "Bacterial small subunit ribosomal RNA", at positions 524 to 776 of the family's 1533-position model. The record is from RNAcentral.
UACGGAGGGGGCUAGCGUUGUUCGGAAUUACUGGGCGUAAAGCGCGCGUAGGCGGACCUGCAAGUCGGGGGUGAAAGCCCGAGGCUCAACCUCGGAACUGCCUUCGAUACUGCGGGUCUCGAGUCCGGGAGAGGUGAGUGGAAUUCCUAGUGUAGAGGUGAAAUUCGUAGAUAUUAGGAAGAACACCAGUGGCGAAGGCGGCUCACUGGCCCGGUACUGACGCUGAGGCGCGACAGCGUGGGGAGAUAACAGG